AAAGGGGUAGCGAGGCAGCGAGCGCGCAGCCUUUUUCGCCGUGCUGCUUAUCCGCAGGGAGGAGCCUUCGUGCUGUUCGGGGCGGCCUUCUUUGC
Molecule: transfer RNA, 95 nt
Filed under: Iodobacter fluviatilis
Lineage: Bacteria; Pseudomonadati; Pseudomonadota; Betaproteobacteria; Neisseriales; Chitinibacteraceae
Description: tRNA-???(ttcg)
Source: RNAcentral